AACGAACGCUGGCGGCAUGCCUAACACAUGCAAGUCGAACGAGACCUUCGGGUCUAGUGGCGCACGGGUGCGUAACGCGUGGGAACCUGCCCUUAGGUUCGGAAUAACUCCCCGAAAGGGGUGCUAAUACCGGUUAAGUCCUCCGACCAAAGAUUUAUCGCCUUUGGAUGGGCCCGCGUUGGAUUAGCUAGUUGGUAGGGUAAAAGCCUACCAAGGCGACGAUCCAUAGCUGGUCUGAGAGGAUGAUCAGCCACACUGGGACUGAGACACGGCCCAGACUCCUACGGGAGGCAGCAGUGGGGAAUAUUGGACAAUGGGCGAAAGCCUGAUCCAGCAAUGCCGCGUGAGUGAUGAAGGCCUUAGGGUUGUAAAGCUCUUUUACCCGGGAUGAUAAUGACAGUACCGGGAGAAUAAGCUCCGGCUAACUCCGUG
This 432-nucleotide ribosomal RNA is filed under the name uncultured bacterium. RNAcentral describes it as "partial 16S ribosomal RNA". It matches the Rfam family "Bacterial small subunit ribosomal RNA", at positions 29 to 507 of the family's 1533-position model. The record is from RNAcentral.